GCACUGCUGAGGAGUCCCAUACCAGGACGAAACGUCCUUCGAGUGC
Non-coding RNA from Schistosoma margrebowiei, 46 nucleotides. The record is from Rfam. Lineage: Eukaryota; Metazoa; Platyhelminthes; Trematoda; Strigeidida; Schistosomatidae.